AUGAACGCUGGCGGCGUGCCUAAUACCUGCAAGUCGAGCGAACAGACGAGGAGCUUGCUCCUCUGACGUUAGCGGCGGACGGGUGAGUAACACGUGGAUAACCUACCUAUAAGACUGGGAUAACUUCGGGAAACCGGAGCUAAUACCGGAUAAUAUAUUGAACCGCAUGGUUCAAUAGUGAAAGACGGUUUUGCUGUCACUUAUAGAUGGAUCCGCGCCGCAUUAGCUAGUUGGUAAGGUAACGGCUUACCAAGGCAACGAUGCGUAGCCGACCUGAGAGGGUGAUCGGCCACACUGGAACUGAGACACGGUCCAGACUCCUACGGGAGGCAGCAGUGGGGAAUCUUCCGCAAUGGGCGAAAGCCUGACGGAGCAACGCCGCGUGAGUGAUGAAGGUCUUCGGAUCGUAAAACUCUGUUAUUAGGGAAGAACAAAUGUGUAAGUAACUAUGCACGUCUUGACGGUACCUAAUCAGAAAGCCACGGCUAACUACGUG
Molecule: ribosomal RNA, 496 nt
Filed under: uncultured bacterium
Lineage: Bacteria
Description: partial 16S ribosomal RNA
Rfam family: Bacterial small subunit ribosomal RNA
Source: RNAcentral